RNAcentral lists this ribosomal RNA (443 nucleotides) under uncultured bacterium. Its description in RNAcentral is "partial 16S ribosomal RNA". It matches the Rfam family "Bacterial small subunit ribosomal RNA", at positions 338 to 795 of the family's 1533-position model. The record is from RNAcentral.
CCUACGGGAGGCUGCAGUGGGGAAUAUUGGGCAAUGGGCGCAAGCCUGACCCAGCAACGCCGCGUGAAGGAAGAAGGCUUUCGGGUUGUAAACUUCUUUUCUCAGGGACGAAGCAAGUGACGGUACCUGAGGAAUAAGCCACGGCUAACUACGUGCCAGCAGCCGCGGCAAUACGUAGGUGGCAAGCGUUAUCCGGAUUUACUGGGUGUAAAGGGCGUGUAGGCGGGACUGUAAGUCAGAUGUGAAAACCACGGGCUCAACCUGUGGCCUGCCUUUGAUACUGUAGUUCUUGAGUACUGGAGCGGCAGACGGAAUGCCUAGUGUAGCGGUGAAAUGCGUAGAUAUUAGGAGGAACACCAGUGGCGAAGGCGGUCUGCUGGACAGCAACUGACGCUGAGGCGCGAAAGCGUGGGGAGCAAACAGGAUUAGAUACCCCAGUAGUC